This 8049-nucleotide long non-coding RNA is filed under the name Citrus x clementina. RNAcentral describes it as "Citrus clementina (C. clementina) long non-coding RNA (CCLE_LNC002403)". The record is from RNAcentral. Lineage: Eukaryota; Viridiplantae; Streptophyta; Magnoliopsida; Sapindales; Rutaceae.
UAAAAUAUUAUCUAAAUAUUAAAUUCGUAAUUACAAAAAUAACCAAAAAGACUAAACACGUUAAAAUAAAAACUGCAGGUCCUUAGUUGACAACACGCGCCCACGCCUUAUCAACAAAGUUCUUCUGAAGCUCAUAAUUUCUCCAGGAAAACAAUCAUCCUCAAACAUCAUCUUGUAGCUCAAUUUUAGCACCAAUCAAUAGAAUUGCACCUACAAAAAUAAAACACAAGUAAAUCACUAUUAUUAAGUGCAAAACAUCGAUAUGAAGGGAAGUAAACAAUGCAAAACUAGUGCAUAAAUUGCACUCUAACAAAUUCCCCCACACCAAGAUAAUGCUUGUCCUCUAGCAUAUAACUCAAGACUAAUCACAAAUCUCCACUCAAUUCUCAUCUCAACUCAUCCAAAAACAAUCUUAAGCAAGCAUACCUCAAGAAUUUAAGUCGAUCAACAUUCGAGAGAUAAGGAUUUUAAAGCAUAGGAUCUCAUAAGCUAAUAUAAAAGAAAAACAUUCAACCACCAAGAAGAUCCAUUUAAAAUUCAAGUGCAACAAGAUUUAAUAGCCAUCUCAUUGACUUCACUCCAUGCACUCAAAGUGUUUAAGGUAUCAUUUAUGCACUCAAAUCAAAUCAAAGAAUGCUAUUACCAUAAGCUUGCUUAUAUAUCACAUCUCAAUCCACAAAACAUGAAUUAAAUGCAAAAAUCUAAGGGUCUUAAAAAGGUUGUAACGGGGUUAAAUGGGUUAAAUGAAAAAGAAAGGCUUAUGAAAGAAAAAGAGAUCAAAAUGAGAAGAAUGAACUCAUUGAAUGAACCUUAUGAUAUCAAAACGUUUAUUUCUACUCAAGUCACCAAGAAUGUUAACAUUUUUUUCUCUUUUCUUUUUUUUUCUCGAUUUUUUUUCGAUUUUUUUUUGUUUUUUGUUUUUUUGAAUCAAAACAAAAGAAAUGAACCUUGCACAAUUUAAUUCAAGCAUAAUGCUUGUUGAUCUAAUUGAGAAACUUUAAUUUAAGGUAGCAAGAGCAACAAAAUAUAUCCAAACAAUGAGUCCAAAAAUUUCCUUAAAUUGAGGCUCAAAAAGAAGGAAAAUGGGUAAGUAGAUAGAGAGAAUUAGAUGGGUAAUGGUUUAGGCUCAAACAAAGAUAACAAAUAAAGGUCUUCGGGUGGAGAAAAAGAAGAAAAAUGCGAAAAUAGAAAAAUGGAAAGUGGUUUAACCUUAUCAUUUUAAUCCAUAAAAUCCCGUAAUGCGGCUUCAACAUGCAUAACAAAGCAAGUUCUAGAAUAAACAAACUAAGAUUGAUAUUCACAUAACAAAAAUAAUUAAGAGCAAAGUGGUUGCUCAUAGGCUCAAAUCCUCACAAAGUUGAUAAUUUGCCAUCAAAUCAUGUACACUCUUCAAAUGAAUCAACCAUCAAUAGUGGUGUAGAAUGAGAAGAAGGAAUGAGUGAUAUAUAAAAGGAAAAGUAAAAAGGAUAAGAAGCGAGAAAGAUGUAUGUAGUAAUAUAAAAAGUGAAAGAUAAAAUGUGAGUGAUGAAAUAGUUUGAUAAAAUAAAAAUAGAUGUAAAUAAUUUGAGAUAGAUGGGAAAAGAGUAGUGAGAAAGAAAAGAAAAAAUAUAUGAAGCAUAUUAACUCCAAAAUCAUUUAAGGAUGAGCAGAGUGAAAAUAAUACUUCCAGACAUCAAUAUUGCAAAAAUCCAUCCCCCACACCAAGAACUUUGUCCCCAAUGUAAGAUAAUCAAAGCUCACAUAAAAAAUUAAAACGUAAUGAUAAAAGAUUAAAGGCAAAACUUCCCUGAAUUGUGAGCUUUGAUCCACAUAACGUCUAUGGGCUUACUGGAAAUGGUGGGAUAAAUCCCACACUCUCGAAGUAUGUGGCCAAAUUCUACUCCAUCUUGUUCAGCUUGUGCUCCAUUUUCUCUAACUGAAUGCUCAAAGGUGGUGCAGAUGUAGAAGGAAUAGUUGGUGGAGCAGCAAUUUCGUCAAACUCGUCAUCAGAGGUAGCACCACUCCUAGCAUAAAGCUUCUUUGGAAGUUGAGUGGGUCCUGGUUCAGUAAACUGAAAUCUCAUCUCCUUGCUUUCGACCACAAAUGUUCUUUCAAAUACAUACAUAUCCAAAAUUCCUUUUUGCAAGCAGGGUGCAAAUCAUUAUUGUCAGGAUCAAGCACACAUAAGUUUAUAGCUAACAGAGUAAUGUAUGGACCAAGAAAUAAAGUCAUAUACCAUUUAAGCACACUCUGAAAUUGAUCUGCUAACCAAAAACCUAGAUUAGGCCUCACAUCAUUUAACAUGCACCAGAUAAAAUAAAACUCAGUUUUAAAGAAAACUCCCGAGUGAUAUUUUUUUCCCUAAAAAAUUAUAUGCUAAGAACCAAUGCACACAUUUCAAAACAGGAUCACGUAAGAAAGAGUUAUUUGAUUUACUCAGGUCGUAGGCAUUGUGAUCAAAAGAUAAAUUACGCCAAAGACCAUAAGACUCAAAAUUUUCGCUAAAGUCACAAGUUGUUCAUAAAUAUGCAUCAUUAGAAGAAUAAUCAUCAUCAAUGAAUCCUAAAGCUAGGUUAAAAUUUGUGAUAGAUUGUGAAAAAUUUCGUCUCAUUAACCUAAACUUUAUAACAUUCGUAGUAUGCAAAGUAAAAUCAUUUGGUAUAUUAAAUUGAAAAGUAGCAUAGAACUCCCUAAUCAACUCAACAUAACCCAAACAAUCAACAUCAACAAACUUACGCAAACCAAUCUUAUCUAUCAAAGAAUCAAAAUUAUCCUUAACAUUCAAUUUUUCAAGAGUCGGGUAAUAAAUAUACUUAGCUGGAAGUAUUUUUCGCUUGGAAAUAUCUUUGUACCUUUCUUUCUCUUGUUGAGUCAUGAAUGUGAGGCAACCUCCGAGAUUGGAUUCAGCAAGUGGCAAAACACUCAUGCCUUUUCCAUGUUUCGAUCUUUGUCUCACGGCUUGGCAUGAAUUUGAAAUUGUGUUCCAUGGGACCGUAGUGGAAGCAACAAUCUUAGAUUUCUUUGCGGGAUUGCUGGAUGAGGCUGGUGUUGCGGGAUGGUUGUGGGACGCUGGGCUGACGGGAGAUGCUUGCGCGCGCGGCUGGUGCGCGAUGGACGCGGGACUGCUAGUGCUUGAGCUGGUUGAGCUCAACUGCUGGUGUGCUGCAGGAUUGCUGGAGAUACAGGAUGGUUGCGGGACGCGGGCUGGUGCUGCGGGAUUGCUAGAGAUGCGGGACUGCUAGUGGAGUGAGGAGCUGGUUGCGCGGCUGGAGGUUGCUGGAGACGCGGCUGUUGGAUGCGGGCUAGGGAGAGAGGCGGCUCAAUGAAAACAAUGGAAUGCGUUAGGUUUUUUUUAAUUUUUUUUUCAAAUAAAAUAAAAAAUAAAAACUUUUUAUUUUUGAUUUUUUUUCAAAUAAAAAAAUUAAAUAAAUAGAAAAAAACUUUUUAUUUUUUAUUUUUAUUUUACUAAAAACUAAAAAAAGACACUUAAGACACUAAAAAAAAUUACAGAAGUAUUUUUUUAAUAAGCAUAUGAGCACGCCUUAAAAUCAUUUUACUUUAAAAUCACAAAAGUACUUAUUAGUUAACACGUGGGCACGGCUAACCAAAAAUUUUCUUCUGGCCAAAAUAAGCAAAAAUAUUAUUUAAACAAUCUGAAUCAAAAUUAAAAACAAAAGAUAUAACAAAAAUCAAAAUAAAUAAAUCCUUUGGGUUGCCUCCCAAAAAGUGCAUUUGUUUUAUGUCUUUGGCUAGACACAUUCAUGCAUCAAUCUCCAUAAAUGGGACUCUCGAGAGCUACUUCCUCCACAAUAUUCACCAAUAAACCUUCAUAAAAAGGUUUUAAGCGAUGACCAUUAACCUUAAAAACUUUGUCAGAGGUCGAACUCCGAAUCUCAACUGCACCGUGAGGAAAAACAUUAGUAACAAUAAAAGGUCCUACCCAGCGAGAACCUAAUUUACCAGGAAAACGUUUAAGCUUAGAAUGAAAAAGAAGAACUUUUUGACCAACAGAGAACUCCUUUCUCAAAAUCAUUCUGUCAUGAAAUAUCUUCGUCUUUUCCUUGUAAAAUCGCGAACUCUCAUAGGAUUCGUUUCUAAUCUCCUCUAGUAGUAUUUUAUGCAUGCACGUGGACGAACUUAUCCCUUUAAUAUCAGCAAUUGUCCACCCAAUAGCCUUUUUGUAAUCCUUCAGCACGCUAAUAAGCUUUUCUUCCUCUAAAGUACUAAGCUUUGAAGAGAUGAUAACCGGAAGUGUCUCACCACCUCCUAGAAACAUGUACUUUAGAUGACUAGGCAACGGUUUAAACUCUAUUUUCGAUGCCUGCAAAAUAAAUGGAAGAAGUUUUGCAUGAGAUGAAGGUAAUUCAACAUAAGACAUAUGAUGAGUUAAAGUUCUCAAAGAAUUUAAUUCAUAAAUUGUCUCUUGCAAUACAGAAUUUAAAAAGAAAACUCAUUUUCAUCCUUUUGCAAUCCUUUGAGACUCAAACUGUUAUUUAAAGCAACUACCAAUGAAUCUUCAACAUCCAAAUAAAAAACUUCCUGCACUAUAGGGUUAAUAACAUCUACAGAAAAUACUGAAUGUUCCUCACCAGGAUAAUUCAUGGCAUCAUUCAUAUUGAACUCUAUAACCUCUCCAUCAAACUCCAUAGUAAGAGUCCCUUUAUGUACAUCCAUUUUAGUCCUAGCAGUCUUAAGAAAAGGUCUUCCUACCAAAAUUGAGACAGAAUUAGAGGAGUUAUCCUCUUCCAUAUCAAGUACAUAAAAAUCAGCAGGAAAAACCAACUCAUUAACUUGUACUAAGACAUCUUCUAAUACCCCAUCAGGAUAUGCAUUAGACCUAUCCGCUAGUUGAAUUAUCACGCCAGUUUCUUUUAAUGGACCAAUAUUCAAAGAUGAAUAAAUGGAACGAGGCAUGACAUUAAUAGAAACUCCUAGAUCUAACAUAGCCUUCUCAACUCUAACACUACCAAAUUUGCAAGGGAUAAUAAACAUACCUGGAUCCUUGCACUUAUGAGGUAGUUUCUUUUGGAGAACUGCUGAAACAUUCUCCCCCAUUUGAACUCUUUCAUCUCCUCUUAAUUUUCUCUUGGAGGUGCACAGUUCCUUAAGGAAUUUAGCAUAUCAAGGUAUUUUUUUAUAGCAUCUAAUAAAGGAAUAUUUACCUCAACCUUGCGAAAUGUCUCAAUGAUGUCUUUCUCUUAUUCCCCCUUCUUGGAUUUUGCAAACCGGCUUGGAAAAGGAGGAGGUAUCACCAUAGGUAGGGGUUUCGCUCUGGUGGGUUGCGCAUCUUGAGAUUUAGGCAUCAAUUCAUUCUUCUCAAGCUCAUCUUCUACAUGAUUAACAAUUUCUUCAAGAGAUAUACCUGACUUGGGUUUUUUGACUGUGGAGGGAUUGGUUGUCUUGGUGGGUAUUGUUGUGGGAAUCCUAAUGGCCUAACUCCAUAGCUGAAGUUUGGAUGAUCCUUCCAUCCCGGAUUGUAUGUUUGUACAUAAGGAUCAUACCUCCUCUGAGGCAUGCCUGGAAAUCCUCCAACUGCAUUGGCUUGUUCAACGGGUUCUUCUUGAAGUGUAGGACAUAUAUAAGUUGAAUGACCCAUAUUGGAACAAAUGUCAUAAGUCUUCACCUGUUGCACAUUACCUACAACAAACUUUUCCACAAGAGAAGUAAGUUUAUCUAAACGUUGUUCAAUAGAAGAACUAUUUACCUCAUUCACCUUCCUUGAAUUGGGAUCUUGCCUGUUGCCAAACUGUUGUGCAUUGGCAGCCAUAUUUGAGAUCAACUUCGUUGCGUGAAUAGGGGUCUUGUUCACCAACACACCUCCACUAGCAGCAUCUAUCAUACUCCUAUCCAUCAAUGACAGUCCUUCGUAAAAAUAUUGAAUAAGAAGUUGAUCAGAAAUCUGAUGCUGAGGAUAGCUGGCACACAAUUGUUUAAAUCGCUCCCAAUACUCAUACAAAGUCUCCCCAGGAAGUUGUCUGAUCCCACAAAUGUCUUUUCUGAUGUUGGCAGCUCUUGAAACAGGAAAGUACUUCUCGAGGAACUGCUUCUUCAAACCAUUCCAUGUUGUAAUCGAUCUAGGAGACAAGUAGUACAACCAGUCUUUAGCUAGCCCAUCUAAAGAGAAAGGAAAAGUACGCAGCUUGAUCUGCUCUUCAGUCACGCCUUGUGGCCUCAUACUUGAACAUACAACAUAACACUCCUUGAGAUGUUUAUGAGGAUCUUCACCUGCAAAACCAUGAAACUUGGGUAAUAAAUAAAUAAGACCAGACUUUAAUUCAAAAUUUACCUCCAAGUCUACAUAUUGAAUGCAGAGUGGUUGUUGAUUCAAGUCUGGUUCAACUAACUCUCUAAAAGUUCUUUCUACUGGUGCAACUCUAUCCAUCACUUGUUCUUCUGAAUCCCUAGAUGAUUCAACCAAAUCAGGCAUCGUAUCUGUUUCAAAAAGCAAAGGCGAUGAGGAUCGUUGCUUAGCUCGCUUCGUUUGUUGUCUCAGCUGGCAAGCUGUCUUCUCAAUUUCAGGAUCAAACGAAAGUGUACCUGUACGAGAAGAAUGAACCAUACACCAAGUAAAAUGUAAAAAGGAUUAAAUAAACGACACCAAUCCCCGGCAACGGCGCCAAAAUUUGAUGGUUGUCGAAGCCAGCAAAAAUAAAUACCUACUCUAAAUAAAUUGUGUAUAGUGAUUGAGCAGGGUCGUGGCCAUGGAGAUCGGUAAUUAUUUAAAUCCUUUUAAAAUGUAAAAUGCAAAAUGGGGGAAUUGUUGACAAUAAUAAAAUCAAAUUAAAAUAACAAGAAUGUAAAUUAAAAUUGUAAUUCAAAAUAGGGAAAGCUCUGGUUGAAGGAAUUAACUCAGUUUGAAUCGACUACUGAUCAUUGAUUCAAAUAUAAAUCAUUACUGCUUAUGAAUAGACCGGUUAUAGUUACUGAGACCCUCUAAUAGCCAAUCUCUCCUUAACUAGUCGAUAACUAAGGUACGAUCGUUGGUUAUUUCCCUAAUCAAUAGACAACCCUAGAUACAAUCAUAUGAUUUAAUCAAUUGACAGCCUGAAAAAGCAGAGAGACCCAAAUCCUAAUCAACAAGCGCAUACGAUGGUUCAUUUAAAUUAUAUUGUUUAUUCUCAUAACAUAACGCACUACUAUGUUAUUUGUCACAAACAUUAAAAUCUUCAUACGAUGAAUCUUUUAAUUGACAAUAGAUUAAAUUGAUAAUUAAAUAGUGGCCAAUUAUCUAAUUAACAAAUAUAAUCAUGACAAUAAUUCAGAGAAUAAACAAAUACCCAAAAAGUAAUAAAACAAUUAAAGCAAAAGAAAGAUCUCACAGUAGUGACGAAUCAAAACUUCAUUAACCUUCAACCAGAAUAAUAGGUUUAGUUCUUCAUAGAGAGAAGAGAAAAAUUUAGAUCUAGGGUUUCUUUCUUUUCAAAAAUCUCCUCCUUUGACAAUAGAUUCCUCUCUUAAAUUCUCCUCUCUCUCUUCUCCUCUAGAGUUCUUUUUAAAAUAAAAUACUAAUAUCUAAAAUAUUAUCUAAAUAUUAAAUUCGUAAUUACAAAAAUAACCAAAAAGACAAAACACGUUAAAAUAAAAAAUGUAGGUCCUUAGUUGACAGCACGCGCCCACGCCUUAUCAACAAAGUUUUUCUGAAGCUCAUAAUUUCUCUAGGAAAACAAUCAUCCUCAAACAUCAUCUUGUAGCUCAAUUUUAGCACCAAUCAAUAGAAUUGCACCUACAAAAAUAAAACACAAGUAAAUCACUAUUAUUAAGUGCAAAACAUCGAUAUUAAAAGAAGUAAACAAUGCAAAACUAGUGCGUAAAUUGCACUCUAACAAUAAAUAUAAUGGAGGACAUUUGCUUCCUUUCUCAUAUUAAUUUGAGUACAAGUCAUUUUCUUUAAGGAAAAAAAGUAAUUAAGCUAGAUAAAAUACAACACACUAAUAUUUUGAUAGAAUAAUAAGGGAAAAGGACGCCUACUCCCAAGAUUUGAAGAAAUGGUCAGAAAGAUUCUAGAGUUUUUAAUAAAAGACAUCAAAACCCUCUUUUGACCAUAAUAUUUUUUACUUUAAAAACCCAAAA